UUGUAUCUUUCACCAUUCUUGUAGUACUGGUGUUUUUUGGUGCAGGAGAAAUCUGAAGCUUGCUAAAUAUUUCCACUUUUGAGUAACAUGAAGAUGAGUUGGCUGUUUGUGUGCGAACUGCCCCUUUAAGACGACUGAAUCAGCGCUAAAUUUGACUGAAAGGACAGGGAAAUUCAGGUCAGCCGAGGCCACACGUCUCCUGACGUUCCCUUGUAAAACUUCCAGAGAGUCCAUUAAGUCUGGUUAAUAUAAGGGACUGUCAGCGAGCUGCAACAUUAUAUCAAUGUUACGUCGGUGCCGUCCUUGACGCUUCUGUCACGCUCCUUUUAGAAAAGGGAGAGCCGGCGAUGAGAGAGACAGUCGGAGAUAAAGAAGUGAGGGAACAGAACACCAUCCAGACCAGAAACAGCUCUCAACACCUCCGUAAUGAUGUUGGACUCGCACACACAGGACUCUUUCUGUCUGCGUUUCCUCUGCUGGUCGUCCCGAGCUCUUCAGGCUGAGCUUUAAACUCUGACCUGUUCCUUUUAUCCUGCUGUGUGUUUAAACCAUUCAGGCGUGUCGGAGAAAACGAGGCCACAAAAAGCUGGAACACGAACUAGACUUUCCCUAAGCUCAAAUAAAAGGCACGAGGGGAAAAAAAGCAGGAAAGUGAUGAAGAAAAGCUGUCAGCCAAGCGUCAGAGAUGGAUGAAAGAGUUAGUGACCUCUGACCUGCCCCAGACCUCUUCCUCAGCUCCCCAAAACCCCCCAAACUCUCACAGAGCAACGACAGAUUCCUUUCAGCACAGCGUCAGCUCAACAAUAGCAUCGCCUGCAUCCCACAGAUACUGCAACUCCUCAGAAGAGAUGAGUAAUGCAUUACUUUCUUUCUGUUCACACUAUAUCUACCAAGAACCAUAAGGAAACCUGAAACAGACCCAGAUGACUGCACUUGAGUCCUGAGCGAGAAUGUAACCUUUGAUCUGUGACCUCUCAGGUCAAAGGUCAAGGGUGGUGCCGGCUUUCCCUCAUCAUCGCUAUGGAAACCACGCAAAGUGUUUGCAGUGCGUCUUUGCGGCUCUUCUACAAAUAGCAGCACAUGUCUAGAAAGCCAUGAAGCACAAGAGAAGUCCAACUUUUUCUUUUCUCUGUCAACACAUCUGUGUGAUGUGUAUUUAUUAUUGUCACAGGCUCUUAUUUGGCUUGAUCUAUGGCAGAAUGAAAUGUCAGUUUUAAAGAUAAUUAAAUUUUUUUCUCCUCCAGCAGAUCCAUUCAUCACAUUCGUGGUCCUCUGCCAUUUUUAGACUCUGGAUAACAUGCCUCGACUCAUUCCAUCUUUCUCUUGCUCUCUCACACACAUCCACAUUGAGUCACAUCCUAUUAUGUGGCACGAAGUCACCAGAAAUCUGUUAAUUACAAAGUCCAGAGCCCAACUAGUAUGAUUAUGAUGAAGUUAUUUCCAUGAGAACGUUCAGCAGUCGUGGAUUUACUGCUUCUUUUACUCUGUGUUUGUAAUCAGCAUCUCUUGUUCUCAUGGGAGGAGAGUCCUCAGUCCUCUUUAUUACACAAGCACAAUGCUGAUAAACCAAUCAGAAACACUCUUAUUAUUACCACCUGAUGACAGACUCGUGCUUGAGUGGAGAAGAAAUAAGACGCAGGGAUGGAUGGAUGGAUGGACGGAAGUCACAAUGCAGAAAAGAAUUAAGAACCCCAUUUGAAUUUCAGUUAAUUUCCCGAAUUUGAAUUGAGGCCAUUCAAACAUACAUUUAAAUUAAUUUAAAAAUGUAAAGGAAUUUAUAGAAGCAUGAAAACUUGUUUGCGGCACUGAAUAAAAAAUAAAAAAGGCAAUUGUGACUUUUUAUCUCAGAAUUUUGAUCACACUUUUUUUCAAGCAGUUGCGAGUUUACAUUAUACAGUUCGGACUUUA
This is a long non-coding RNA of Carassius gibelio (silver crucian carp), 1908 nucleotides long. RefSeq lists it as uncharacterized. The record is from RefSeq and is a predicted model, not a curated record. Lineage: Eukaryota; Metazoa; Chordata; Actinopteri; Cypriniformes; Cyprinidae. The transcript is spliced from 3 exons.